This is a small nucleolar RNA of Acomys russatus (golden spiny mouse), 132 nucleotides long. RefSeq annotates it as small nucleolar RNA SNORA17. The transcript has a single exon. NCBI's taxonomy places the organism in Eukaryota, Metazoa, Chordata, Mammalia, Rodentia, Muridae. The record is from RefSeq and is a predicted model, not a curated record.
UCUGCCCUUAGAGGCAAUGCAGGUGUGGCUGCUGUGUUGUAAGUACGUCAGUAGGUGGCAGAGAGGAGAGAAGCCAUGUCUACUCCCAGUGUUCUGACCCAUGAACAUCUGAAUAAUAAGUAGCUUAACAAG